RNA transcript from Zea mays, 1343 nucleotides. RefSeq lists it as uncharacterized. The record is from RefSeq and is marked validated. Lineage: Eukaryota; Viridiplantae; Streptophyta; Magnoliopsida; Poales; Poaceae. The transcript is spliced from 11 exons.
GAACUUUAUACCUGUCAAACGUAUAAAUGUAUAAAUAUAGAGGGCCCCCUUCGAUCAAAUCCUAACCUUCUCUCCUUCCUUUUGAUCUUCCCCUCUACGCGAUCGAAACCGAAGCUCGAAUCAAUCCUCCACCCGUUUCCAGCCCCUCGUCCCGGAGCCCCGAUCCGCCUCCCGUCUCCUCCUGGGCAGGUCCCCCUUUUCCGCGUGUGCGUUGGCCGGCCGGUUCCCGAUGAGGGGGUUGCUGGCGGUGGAGGCCGCGGGCGCGGCGUCGGUCCCGGCCUCGGUACUCCACGGCGCCGUGGACUGGUGGCGCGACGUCAACGAGUCGCCGCUGUGGCAGGACCGCAUAUUUCACGCGCUCGCCGUGCUCUACGGCAUCGUCUCGGCCGUCGCGCUGGUCCAAUUAAUCAGAAUCGAGUGUAGGGUGCCAGAGUAUGGAUGGACAACGCAGAAGGUGUUCCAUUUUCUAAACUUCCUUGUGAACGGCGUGCGGUCUGUCGUGUUUGUGCUGCGGCGAAAUGUGCAACUUGUAGAGCCUGAGAUAAUACAACAUGUGCUUCUGGAUAUGCCCGGGCUUGCAUUCUUCACGACAUAUGCACUUUUAGUGCUCUUCUGGGCUGAGAUUUAUUAUCAGGCACGUGCAAUGUCGACUGAUGGGCUUAGACCAACUUUCUAUUGGAUCAACGGUGUGGUCUAUGCAAUUCAGAUAAUUCUAUGGUUGGUUUUAUGGUGGAAACCAGUUCGAGUUAUGGUCAUUUUGCCAAAGAUGUUCUUUGCAGGUGUAUCACUAUUUGCUGCCCUUGGAUUUGUUCUGUAUGGAGGAAGAUUCGAAAGGAAGGAGAAAGAAAUUGCAGGAGGUUGGCUAUGUGACUACCAUCUGUUUUUCUUGUUUCUUGAUCAGAUGUGUCAUGCUGUGCCUCAAUUCAUUUGAUAAAGAAGCAGAUCUUGAUGUCCUGAACCAUCCAAUCCUGAACUUCCUCUAUUACCUGCUGGUUGAGAUAGUGCCUUCGGCUCUGGUGCUCUUCAUUCUACGGAAACUGCCUCCAAAACGUGGGAUCACACAAUAUCACCCAAUCCAUUAGAGAGCAGGCCUUGGUGGACAGGCAAAUGUUUUCUGGUGGAUUGUCUUAUAUAGCGUGGUAAAUACAGAAGGCAGAGUGAAAAGUACCACCUUUGCUCUCGAGCUUGCCCAGCUUUUCAUACGAGGGAAGGCUUUAGAAUCUCAGGUUUAGAAAAUGCGAUCUCUUUCUCUCAGAUUUAGAAAAUGUAAAAUGUAAUUUAUAUAACUUUAAUAUUCUCAGUGCAUAUCAUUUGUUCACAUCUCAGUAAUCGUUUGCAUGUUU